This 520-nucleotide ribosomal RNA is filed under the name uncultured Glomus. Its description in RNAcentral is "SSU rRNA". It matches the Rfam family "Eukaryotic small subunit ribosomal RNA", at positions 569 to 1090 of the family's 1831-position model. Lineage: Eukaryota; Fungi; Glomeromycota; Glomeromycetes; Glomerales; Glomeraceae. The record is from RNAcentral.
AGCAGCCGCGGUAAUUCCAGCUCCAAUAGCGUAUACUAAAGUUGUUGCAGUUAAAAAGCUCGUAGUUGAAUUUCGGGAUCAAUAUGUCGGUCGUGCCUUCGGUACGUACUGGUAUCAUUGGUCUCUCCUUUCUGACGAACCAUGAUGUCAUUAAUUUGGUGUUAUGGGGAGUUAGGACUGUUACUUUGAAAAAAUUGGAGUGUUUAAAGCAGGCUUUAGCUUGAAUACAUUAGCAUGGAAUAAUGAAAUAGGACGUUCGAACCUAUUUUGUUGGUUUCUAGGAUCAACGUAAUGAUUAAUAGGGAUAGUUGGGGGCAUUAGUAUUCAAUUGUCAGAGGUGAAAUUCUUGGAUUUAUUGAAGACUAACUACUGCGAAAGCAUUUGCCAAGGAUGUUUUCAUUAAUCAAGAACGAAAGUUAGGGGAUCGAAGACGAUCAGAUACCGUCGUAGUCUUAACCAUAAACUAUGCCGACUAGGGAUCGGAUGAUGUUAAUUUUUUAAUGACUCAUUCGGCGCCUUA